GGAGAGGUGGCCGAGCGGUUGAAGGCGCACGCCUGGAAAGUGUGUAUACGGCAACGUAUCGAGGGUUCGAAUCCCUCCCUCUCCGCCA
This 88-nucleotide transfer RNA is filed under the name Acidithiobacillales bacterium SG8_45. RNAcentral describes it as "tRNA-Ser". It matches the Rfam family "tRNA". From Rfam's summary of the family: Transfer RNA (tRNA) molecules are approximately 80 nucleotides in length. Their secondary structure includes four short double-helical elements and three loops (D, anti-codon, and T loops). Further hydrogen bonds mediate the characteristic L-shaped molecular structure. tRNAs have two regions of fundamental functional importance: the anti-codon, which is responsible for specific mRNA codon recognition, and the 3' end, to which the tRNAs corresponding amino acid is attached (by aminoacyl-tRNA synthetases). tRNAs cope with the degeneracy of the genetic code in two manners: having more than one tRNA (with a specific anti-codon) for a particular amino acid; and 'wobble' base-pairing, i.e. permitting non-standard base-pairing at the 3rd anti-codon position. Lineage: Bacteria; Pseudomonadati; Pseudomonadota; Acidithiobacillia; Acidithiobacillales. RNAcentral also lists the same sequence under 2 other names. The record is from RNAcentral.